CUUGAAUAUAAAUAGGAUAUAAAAAAAGCGGCGUGAAACUUGUAAAUUAAACUGGCGACUCUUAGGACGUGGAAGGAAGCAUUUUUAACGAAUAAAACUGCCUUCAUUAACGAAGCAGCAAUUCAUUUUACAAGAUUCCGCAGGCCCUCUCGAAAUCGUGACCUUCCCAUGACGCAAAGAGGGCCUGCGGAGGAGGCAGGACGUGUGAUGCGGAAGUAGCCUGAGGCGAGCAUGUUUUUGGUGAAAAAUGAAGAAAAAGUAGAUUGCGGUCAAAUGUCGGCGUAUCGACUGCUUGCACUCGAAAGGCUGGAUCUAUAGUAUUGCCUUCACAAAGCUGUAGCAAAAAGGUUAAACUAGUUCAAAUUACGAGAGUUUAAACUAAGUCCGUAUAACUUCAGCCAUUUCCUUAUAGUAACGCUUUUUGUUUCCCAUACUUACUGCUGUUAUCUUGGCAGACAUUUUCCCCGCCAUUUUCGUAUACUUGCGCAUGCGCUUUAUGUGUCACCGCGGUGCUGAUUUUGAUAUGCCGGCUUUAGUUCUUGUGACCAUUUUUGUAGUGUGAUAAUAAACUAAUUUGAUCAUUAAUACUGAUAGUUAAUAUGUACAAUACUCUGAGUACUACG
This is a non-coding RNA of Paramuricea clavata, 623 nucleotides long. The record is from the annotation of a GenBank genome assembly. Lineage: Eukaryota; Metazoa; Cnidaria; Anthozoa; Malacalcyonacea; Plexauridae.